Molecule: long non-coding RNA, 693 nt
Organism: Bos taurus (domestic cattle)
Lineage: Eukaryota; Metazoa; Chordata; Mammalia; Artiodactyla; Bovidae
Source: Ensembl
GCUGCCUGGGUACCCAGUGAAGAAAGAAAGGUCCAAGGAAUUUUACAAUGGUCUUCCUCCCCGCCUUGCCCCGGGGCUUGAGUUCCUGCUGCCUGUGCCCUCGGCUCAGUUGUCCCUCCAGUCGGUGGCCCACAAGAGCCCUGGUAUUAGAACCCUAGAGGGGAAGUUGGUCUGUAGACACCGGGGCCUGGUUGCUCAGAGCUGAGGCACCUCACGGAGCGGACGUCCUGUGUCAGCAGCCUCUCUGCGCCCAAGAUCCAAGAUGGCCUGGCCCAUGCUCUGGCCCCAGACAUGAGUUUGAGCAAAUUCCGGGAGAUGGUGAAGGACAUUUUGGCUGCGCUGGGUCUUCGUUGCAGUAUGUGGGCUCUUGGCCGCAACAGGCUUCUCCAGCUAUGCUGCACACAGCCUCCUCUGGUUGAGAUGCACAAACUCUGCAGCGUUCAGGCUCACUAGUUGUGGCACCCAGGCUUAGUUGCUCCAAGGCUCGUGGAACCUUAGCUCCCCUACCAGAGACAGAACCUGAGUCUCCUACAUUGGGAGGCGGAUUCUUUACCACUGGACCACCAGAUAUGCCAUGGCAGUCGCUACACUCAACACAAACCUGAGGAGAAAAGGGCAAAGGGAGAAGAUGAAAGAAGAUAAGCGUUGGGGCAGAUGGAAUUUGAAAUGCUGUCAGUGGUGUGAACUUCCAAU